ACAAGUACCGUGAGGGAAAGUUGCAAAGCACUUUGAAGAGAGAGUUAAAGAGGACGUGAAACCGAUAAGGUGGAAACGGAUAGAGCUGACGUAUCUGGCCUGUAUUCAGCCGAAUGGCUGUUUCUCUCUGGCUGGUUAGUCCUGCUUUUGGCUGACUGGUUAGUGUUGAAACGGUUUUACCGGUGCAUUUGCAGGUGGUGUGCGCUGAAGCUUGUACUGUGCAUCGGCUGGAUAGUUGCUUUGAGGUCUUCCUUCGGGCAAGAAACCCUAGCAUCUGGAAAGCUGUAUGUGGUGCGAGUAUGUAAGUCUACGGCUUACGGUUGAGCUGGCGGUUGGUUCUUCCUGGGGUUAUGGUCGCAUGCGACUGUGCCUUGGUGGGUUCUGACUGUUGGUUAGGCCUCGUAGAAUUCUUCGGUGUAAAAGUUGGUCAUCUAUCCGACCCGUCUUGAAACACGGACCAAGGAGUUUAACGAGUGCGCGAGUCAUUGGGUGUGAAAACUCAAAGGCGCAAUGAAAGUAAAGGCUUCGCUUGACGAGCUAAUAUGCGACCUCGGUGGCUUCGGCCACUGGGAGCAGCAUAGCCCCGUCUCGACUGCUUGCAGUGGGGCGGAGGAAGAGCGUACUCGCUGAGACCCGAAAGAUGGUGAACUAUGCCUGAGCAGGACGAAGCCAGAGGAAACUCUGGUGGAAGUCCGGAGCGGUUCUGACGUGCAAAUCGAUCGUCUGACUUGGGUAUAGGGACGAAAGAUCAAUCGAACUAUCUAGUAGCUGGUUCCUUCCG
RNAcentral lists this ribosomal RNA (781 nucleotides) under Ditylenchus sp. TED. Its description in RNAcentral is "partial large subunit ribosomal RNA". It matches the Rfam family "Eukaryotic large subunit ribosomal RNA", at positions 344 to 963 of the family's 3401-position model. The record is from RNAcentral. Lineage: Eukaryota; Metazoa; Nematoda; Chromadorea; Rhabditida; Anguinidae.